CGAGUGAGCGGCAAAAGCUCAAAUUUGAAAUCUGGCUCUUUCAGAGUCCGAGUUGUAAUUUGAAGAAGGUAUCUUUGGGUCUGGCUCUUGUCUAUGUUUCUUGGAACAGAACGUCACAGAGGGUGAGAAUCCCGUGCGAUGAGAUGAUCCAGGCCUAUGUAAAGUUCCUUCGAAGAGUCGAGUUGUUUGGGAAUGCAGCUCUAAGUGGGUGGUAAAUUCCAUCUAAAGCUAAAUAUUGGCGAGAGACCGAUAGCGAACAAGUACAGUGAUGGAAAGAUGAAAAGAACUUUGAAAAGAGAGUGAAAAAGUACGUGAAAUUGUUGAAAGGGAAGGGCUUGAGAUCAGACUUGGUAUUUUGUAUGUUACUUCUUCGGGGGUGGCCUCUACAGUUUAUCGGGCCAGCAUCAGUUUGGGCGGUAGGAGAAUUGCGUUGGAAUGUGGCACGGCUUUGGUUGUGUGUUAUAGCCUUCGUCGAUACUGCCAGCCUAGACUGAGGACUGCGGUUUAUACCUAGGAUGUUGGCAUAAUGAUCUUAAGUCGCCCGUCUUAA
RNAcentral lists this ribosomal RNA (550 nucleotides) under Candida tropicalis. RNAcentral describes it as "eukaryotic LSU rRNA". It matches the Rfam family "Eukaryotic large subunit ribosomal RNA", at positions 90 to 657 of the family's 3401-position model. The record is from RNAcentral. Lineage: Eukaryota; Fungi; Ascomycota; Pichiomycetes; Serinales; Debaryomycetaceae.